UGUAAUAAACUAUGAUGUCGUUUAUGACAC
This 30-nucleotide small RNA is filed under the name Bombyx mori (domestic silkworm). RNAcentral describes it as "ovarian small RNA-35345". The record is from RNAcentral. Lineage: Eukaryota; Metazoa; Arthropoda; Insecta; Lepidoptera; Bombycidae.